GCCGAGAGCGAGGGGCUUUUCCUCGACGGUCGCCGCGCAGUUUGAGCCUCUGUAACUGUCCGGCAACAUUACGGGAAAAUACACGG
Molecule: non-coding RNA, 86 nt
Organism: Cariama cristata (Red-legged seriema)
Lineage: Eukaryota; Metazoa; Chordata; Aves; Cariamiformes; Cariamidae
Source: Rfam